Molecule: long non-coding RNA, 566 nt
Organism: Xenopus laevis (African clawed frog)
Lineage: Eukaryota; Metazoa; Chordata; Amphibia; Anura; Pipidae
Exons: 3
Source: RefSeq, a predicted model, not a curated record
GAGUCACGUAAUCAGGCUAAGAGGAUUUUCUAAUUGUAAAAAACAAUGAGACAAGGGCAUGAGAAGCAAAAAAAAGCGUCACUGCUUCAAUAACUAGGAACUUUGCAGCCCUGUGGCAUUGGGAACAAAUGGCUUGAGCCUGGCACAGGAUAAAAUCUAACCCAUCUUCCUUGGAUGUAAAGGCUAAUGGCCAUAAAUAUGGAAGAUAUACAGCAUGGGCUGGACUCCAUUGACCAGAUGCAGUGGAGCAGAGUACAUCUGACAUCGACAUGGAAUUCAGUGAUCCUGUGAUACUAAAUAUAGAUCCAGAGACGACGGGUGCAGCUACCAACGACCAGACGGAAAAUCUGCAGGUAGAAGCCAUGGCAUUGAGAACAGCUUGGGAUGCUGUAAAUCUGCUUCCAGAUGGCAGCCGGCACAGGGAUCCAGAAAGUGUGAAGUGGCUGGAGAUUGGGGCAGUGAAUAUAGCUUCCAUGACCCUGGGCACAGUUGGCAUAAAUGUCUUUCCAAUGUUUUCUGCUGGCACAGCAGACAUGGAUCCAACAAUAUCUGGAAUAGACACUUUU